AACGCUAGCUACAGGCUUAACACAUGCAAGUCGAGGGGCAGCAUGAACUUAGCUUGCUAAGUUUGAUGGCGACCGGCGCACGGGUGAGUAACGCGUAUCCAACCUGCCUGUUACCACGGCACAGCCCGUCGAAAGGCGGAUUAAUGCCGUAUGUGGUCCUAAGCGGGCAUCUAAUUAGGACUAAAGGAUUGGCGGUAACGGAUGGGGAUGCGUCCGAUUAGCUUGACGGCGGGGUAACGGCCCACCGUGGCGACGAUCGGUAGGGGUUCUGAGAGGAAGGUCCCCCACAUUGGAACUGAGACACGGUCCAAACUCCUACGGGAGGCAGCAGUGAGGAAUAUUGGUCAAUGGGCGAGAGCCUGAACCAGCCAAGUAGCGUGAGGGAAGACUGCCCUAUGGGUUGUAAACCUCUUUUGUGCGGGGAUAAAGUGAGGGACGUGUCCCUCAUUGCAGGUACCGCACGAAUAAGGACCGGCUAAUUCCGUGCCAGCAGCCGCGGUAAUACGGAAGGUCCGGGCGUUAUCCGGAUUUAUUGGGUUUAAAGGGAGCGCAGGCCGUCCUUUAAGCGUGCUGUGAAAUGCCGCGGCUCAACCGUGGCACUGCAGCGCGAACUGGAGGACUUGAGUACGCACGAGGUAGGCGGAAUUCGUGGUGUAGCGGUGAAAUGCUUAGAUAUCACGAAGAACUCCGAUUG
Molecule: ribosomal RNA, 694 nt
Filed under: uncultured Bacteroides sp.
Lineage: Bacteria; Pseudomonadati; Bacteroidota; Bacteroidia; Bacteroidales; Bacteroidaceae
Description: bacterial SSU rRNA
Rfam family: Bacterial small subunit ribosomal RNA
Source: RNAcentral